AGAGUUUGAUCCUGGCUCAGAUUGAACGCUGGCGGCAGGCCUAACACAUGCAAGUCGAGCGGUAGAGAGAAGCUUGCUUCUCUUGAGAGCGGCGGACGGGUGAGUAAUGCCUAGGAAUCUGCCUGGUAGUGGGGGAUAACGUUCGGAAACGGACGCUAAUACCGCAUACGUCCUACGGGAGAAAGCAGGGGACCUUCGGGCCUUGCGCUAUCAGAUGAGCCUAGGUCGGAUUAGCUAGUUGGUGAGGUAAUGGCUCACCAAGGCGACGAUCCGUAACUGGUCUGAGAGGAUGAUCAGUCACACUGGAACUGAGACACGGUCCAGACUCCUACGGGAGGCAGCAGUGGGGAAUAUUGGACAAUGGGCGAAAGCCUGAUCCAGCCAUGCCGCGUGUGUGAAGAAGGUCUUCGGAUUGUAAAGCACUUUAAGUUGGGAGGAAGGGCCGUUACCUAAUACGUGAUGGUUUUGACGUUACCGACAGAAUAAGCACCGGCUAACUCUGUGCCAGCAGCCGCGGUAAUACAGAGGGUGCAAGCGUUAAUCGGAAUUACUGGGCGUAAAGCGCGCGUAGGUGGUUUGUUAAGUUGGAUGUGAAAUCCCCGGGCUCAACCUGGGAACUGCAUUCAAAACUGACUGACUAGAGUAUGGUAGAGGGUGGUGGAAUUUCCUGUGUAGCGGUGAAAUGCGUAGAUAUAGGAAGGAACACCAGUGGCGAAGGCGACCACCUGGACUGAUACUGACACUGAGGUGCGAAAGCGUGGGGAGCAAACAGGAUUAGAUACCCUGGUAGUCC
RNAcentral lists this ribosomal RNA (793 nucleotides) under uncultured bacterium. Its description in RNAcentral is "bacterial SSU rRNA". It matches the Rfam family "Bacterial small subunit ribosomal RNA", at positions 8 to 796 of the family's 1533-position model. The record is from RNAcentral.